RNAcentral lists this long non-coding RNA (235 nucleotides) under Capsicum annuum. Its description in RNAcentral is "long non-coding RNA (CANN_LNC005493)". The record is from RNAcentral. Lineage: Eukaryota; Viridiplantae; Streptophyta; Magnoliopsida; Solanales; Solanaceae.
UUUUAUUUCACUAGGUGAAUAUCAGCAAGGAUAUGAGAUUGGAUAGAUAUCUUUGCCAAUGUCCAGCCAGGAUACCUGCUCACCAUUUCUUAGCCACCAAAGAGAAUCCUUGAAAUUAGCCACUAUUCAUCUGCAAAAACUAGGUUCUGUCUCCUCAUUACUUUCUCAACCAUCUGCCUACAAUCAUUCUUGAGGAGAACAGGAGUAUACUGAAGAAACUUUGCCUCCUUCUAGG